GAUGAACGCUGGCGGCGUGCUUAACACAUGCAGGUCGAACGAAGCACCUUGAUUCGAUUCUUCGGAUGAAGAUCUUGGUGACUGAGUGGCGGACGGGUGAGUAACGCGUGGGUAACCUGCCUCAUACAGGGGGAUAACAGUUAGAAAUGACUGCUAAUACAGCAUAAGACCACAGCACCGCAUGGUGCAGGGGUAAAAACUCCGGUGGUAUGAGAUGGACCCGCGUCUGAUUAGGUAGUUGGUGGGGUAACGGCCUACCAAGCCGACGAUCAGUAGCCGACCUGAGAGGGUGACCGGCCACAUUGGGACUGAGACACGGCCCAAACUCCUACGGGAGGCAGCAGUGGGGAAUAUUGCACAAUGGGGGAAACCCUGAUGCAGCGACGCCGCGUGAGCGAUGAAGUAUUUCGGUAUGUAAAGCUCUAUCAGCAGGGAAGAAAAUGACGGUACCUGACUAAGAAGCACCGGCUAAAUACGUG
RNAcentral lists this ribosomal RNA (479 nucleotides) under uncultured bacterium. RNAcentral describes it as "partial 16S ribosomal RNA". It matches the Rfam family "Bacterial small subunit ribosomal RNA", at positions 28 to 507 of the family's 1533-position model. The record is from RNAcentral.